This 493-nucleotide ribosomal RNA is filed under the name Sinochauliodes maculosus. RNAcentral describes it as "partial large subunit ribosomal RNA". The record is from RNAcentral. Lineage: Eukaryota; Metazoa; Arthropoda; Insecta; Megaloptera; Corydalidae.
GUCUUUUUGAUUAUAAUUUAAAGUCUAACCUGCCCACUGAAAUUUUUAAAGGGCCGCGGUAUUUUGACUGUGCAAAGGUAGCAUAAUCAUUAGUCUUUUAAUUGGAGGCUUGUAUGAAUGGUUGGAUGAGGUAUUAACUGUCUCAAUUUAAUAAAUAAUAGAAUUUUAUUUUUAAGUUAAAAAGCUUAAAUAUUAUUAAAAGACGAGAAGACCCUAUAGAUCUUUAUAAUUAAAUUUAUAAUAAUUUUUUAGGUUAAAUUUAUUUUUAUAAAAAUAAUUAUUAUAUUGGGGUGAUAAAAAAAUUUGUUAAACUUUUUUUAUAAAUAAACAAUGAUAUUUGAUUAAUUGAUCCAUUUUUUGUGAUUAUAAGAUUAAGUUACCUUAGGGAUAACAGCGUAAUUUUUUUGGAGAGUUCAUAUCGAUAAAAAAGAUUGCGACCUCGAUGUUGAAUUAAAGGUUAAUUUUAGGUGUAGAAGUUUAAAAUUUUGGUCUG